Molecule: long non-coding RNA, 1568 nt
Filed under: Solanum tuberosum (potato)
Lineage: Eukaryota; Viridiplantae; Streptophyta; Magnoliopsida; Solanales; Solanaceae
Description: long non-coding RNA (STUB_LNC011672)
Source: RNAcentral
CAAAAACAAAAAUGCUAAUGAAUCCCAAUAAGCCUUUGGUGUUUUGGAUGCUUUUACAAUCUAGAGAAGCUUUUAUGAAUAAACUGGUAAGUUUGUCAAUAUCUCUUUGUUUAAUUUUUCCGAUUCUUGAAGUCUAAAGCAUUUGGACAUAGAUUUGAUUGAAACUUUACUUGAAAACUGAUGUACAUCUAUAUAAUAUUUUGAGGAAAUCUUAGUAACUCAGUAAGUUGGUUGGUUAAUUAAACUUUCACCUUUUUAGUAACGAUUCAAUUCACUACUUUAUAAUCAUAUCCCAUUUUCCGUUCUCCUACCCAUAAUUUUGAAGAAAAAAACCUUUGAGAAAAUUAUUCUUUUUUAUAAAAAAAAAAAGACUUACAUGUCCAAAUAGUCCCUAAUAAGAAUUUCAAUUCCAACUCAAAAGCUUCAUUUCCUAAAUUUGUUUUUUCGGCAAGUGUCGUCUUGGUUCAUCAAAGAAAACAUGAUAAUGUUGUGCAAUGCUUUCUUACUGAAAACGGAUAAAGUUUAAUGCCGUGGGAAGCAAAGAUACUGAGACAAAUGUCCAAGAGUUACUUCAUAUGUGAACAAAACUGGCCACGAUUUGUGAUGCAUCACAAAUUUAAGUAAUGCAGCAUUUUUCUAUUUUUUAUCAUUUAAAAAUCAUCCUUAUGUAUGAAACCAUAAACAUAGAAAUGUUGUAGAAACAUUAUUGGUGAGAGUGAACUUUUUUAUGAGGAACUUAACAGCUCUAAAGAUGAUAUUGAACCUUCAGUAAGGAAAUCAAAGAGAGCUAGAAAAGGGGACAAUGAGGAAGAAAGCAUUGAUCUUCCCUAUUCAAAUCAUGCAGUUUACUAUGAAAAACCUAAUCUAAAGAAGGUGUCAUCAGGUAUGCAAUUUAUCAAUGCAGCACCUUAGGAUAUUUCGAUCUAUUUCUCAUUUAUUAAGACUUUAUAUGAAUUGAGAUAAAUUUGAUAGUUUUCACAAUUAUGGGGUUUUCAUAUUUCUUAAGAAAAAAAUAUAACUUAAGAAAUUUGUAUUACAUCUCCAAAAAAAACCAUCAACUUCAAAUCUAUAUGAUUUAAACAACUUCUUUCAAAUUAUGUUCAAACAUGGCUUACAUCAAGUUUGCAUGUGCGUUAAACUAAUUAACAAACUUGAUCUUUAGUGUAGUUAAAGACUUGUAUAUCAAUGCAUCUAUAACUUAUAAGUAAGAUCUUUAAACUGCCAUAUAACAAGUAAUAAUCUCUCUAGUUUAAUUUAUAUGAUAAAGUUUUAAUAGGCACAUGGAUUAAAAAAGAAAUGAAGAUCAUUGUUGCGACUAAUGAUUCUAAACAUGUCAUAAACUUUGUAUGGUCAUACGUCUUUUAAAAUUUGUGGCCUUAAAUAUUCCGUAACAUUUAGGUAGGAAUCUAGUUGUAUAGUACUUAUACAUAUAACAAGUUUGUUGCAGAGGAAGACAAAGAAGCUAAGUGUGGAAGAGAAGAAGAUGGUCUCAAGAAGAACAAACGUUGCCUUUUGUUAAACUUCAAAGGUGAUAAUCCCUAUAAUAAAACUGUUCAAAAAAUUCACAC